GGAAAUGUAAAGAAGGAGAGGAGUACAUAGGUAACCUUUUCAGAGAGGAACAUUAAAGUUUAUCUUUGCUGGAAGAUGUUCUAAAGAAGUGACUAUGGAAGGUAGCUCUGGAACAGCGUUUUUGAAAAUAGUAGGAAACGACGGGUAGCUUCGUUAAAGGCGAUAAGGUGAUAUGAGAUAUUUCAUAGCAUAAAAAAAGGUGGUACCACGGUUCUUCGUCCUUUCG
This 226-nucleotide non-coding RNA is filed under the name Clostridium sp. Its description in RNAcentral is "T-box sequence". It matches the Rfam family "T-box leader". From Rfam's summary of the family: Uncharged tRNA acts as the effector for transcription antitermination of genes in the T-box leader family. T-boxes are found upstream of many aminoacyl-tRNA synthetase genes and some amino acid biosynthetic genes usually in Gram-positive bacteria. The record is from RNAcentral. Lineage: Bacteria; Bacillati; Bacillota; Clostridia; Eubacteriales; Clostridiaceae.